Molecule: ribosomal RNA, 498 nt
Filed under: uncultured bacterium
Lineage: Bacteria
Description: partial 16S ribosomal RNA
Rfam family: Bacterial small subunit ribosomal RNA
Source: RNAcentral
AUUGAACGCUGGCGGCAUGCUUUACACAUGCAAGUCGAACGGUAACAAGUCUUCGGAUGCUGACGAGUGGCGAACGGGUGAGUAAUGCAUCGGAACGUGCCCAGUCGUGGGGGAUAACGCAGCGAAAGCUGCGCUAAUACCGCAUACGAUCUAUGGAUGAAAGCGGGGGACCGUAAGGCCUCGCGCGAUUGGAGCGGCCGAUGUCAGAUUAGGUAGUUGGUGGGGUAAUGGCCCACCAAGCCAACGAUCUGUAGCUGGUCUGAGAGGACGACCAGCAACACUGGGACUGAGACACGGCCCAGACUCCUACGGGAGGCAGCAGUGGGGAAUUUUGGACAAUGGGCGCAAGCCUGAUCCAGCAAUGCCGCGUGCAGGAAGAAGGCCUUCGGGUUGUAAACUGCUUUUGUACGGAACGAAACGGCUCUCUCUAAUACAGAGGGCUAAUGACGGUACCGUAAGAAUAAGCACCGGCUAACUACGUGCCAGCCGCCGCAGUAA